GCGCCCGUAGCUCAGCUGGAUAGAGUACUGCCCUCCGAAGGCAGGGGUCGGACGUUCGAAUCGUCUCGGGCGCACCA
RNAcentral lists this transfer RNA (77 nucleotides) under Methyloprofundus sedimenti. RNAcentral describes it as "tRNA-Arg". It matches the Rfam family "tRNA". Rfam says of the family: Transfer RNA (tRNA) molecules are approximately 80 nucleotides in length. Their secondary structure includes four short double-helical elements and three loops (D, anti-codon, and T loops). The record is from RNAcentral. RNAcentral also lists the same sequence under 3 other names. Lineage: Bacteria; Pseudomonadati; Pseudomonadota; Gammaproteobacteria; Methylococcales; Methylococcaceae.